UCCUGAUUGAGAAAGGGUUUUGGUUUAUUUUUGUGUAACAAUACUCUUAAAUAACCAAGUUUUCCUUGCUUUGCAGUGAGAAGAACCACCUUUGUCUGUUUUGCGUGUUCAGUACCCCAAAUGGCCCCAUCAUGGAGUUCCAAAAAACACUCUUGUAGUGCAGACUGUGUUUACCUGAGUCAAAUGAAUAUAUAUUUGUUGAGGCUAAUGGUGGUUGAAUCAACAGAGUACAUCGAUAUGUAAUGUUGUAGCUGUGGCAGACUACCUCAAUGCAACCCUCAUUAUCCAAAACUUUCACUUUUACAAGAUGAUACCCUAGCCAUUGUCAAGGGAUUUGCUACCGCUGUUACGGUCCCAGAGACCGCACUUAUUCUUCCAAGUAAUGCCGGACGAAGAUCCUCGAUGAGGUACUUAACGAAGAUAACAUCAAGUGCACUCAUAAGGAUGUACAUUUUUUUUAAAUGUUUACUCUUUUUGGAAUUAAAUUACUUUAGUUGCUUAUAUAAUUCAUAUAUAUCAUUGGAAACACAUUGCAGUAGGUUUGGUGCCUCUGAUUGCUUCCUCUGUGAUUUUUCACUCGAUGAGCUUGGUCGUUCAUAAUUGUAUUUGUUAGUUGACCUUAGGAUAGUACUGCAGUUUGAUACCAUAUCUAUUUAUUCACGUAUUA
Long non-coding RNA from Andrographis paniculata, 667 nucleotides. RefSeq lists it as uncharacterized. NCBI's taxonomy places the organism in Eukaryota, Viridiplantae, Streptophyta, Magnoliopsida, Lamiales, Acanthaceae. The record is from RefSeq and is a predicted model, not a curated record. The transcript has 4 exons.